GCACAACAAUGUCGUCAUCACGGCGUUCAGCCCGCUUGGCAGACCUGGUGAGGAAAGCCUACAUGGUGUCAGUCCCCUCAAGGAUCCUAAGGUGAUUGCAAUCGCAGAAAAGCACAAGAAAACUCCAGCACAGGUGUGUCUCAGGUGGCAGGUACAGAGGGGCGUGGUCGUCGUCCCGAAGAGCACCUCACCUGCCAGAAUCCUGGAGAA
Molecule: long non-coding RNA, 210 nt
Organism: Branchiostoma floridae (Florida lancelet)
Lineage: Eukaryota; Metazoa; Chordata; Leptocardii; Amphioxiformes; Branchiostomatidae
Exons: 3
Source: RefSeq, a predicted model, not a curated record